Molecule: ribosomal RNA, 706 nt
Filed under: Exiguobacterium sp. HPC951
Lineage: Bacteria; Bacillati; Bacillota; Bacilli; Caryophanales
Description: bacterial SSU rRNA
Rfam family: Bacterial small subunit ribosomal RNA
Source: RNAcentral
CGAACGCUGGGCGGCGUGCCUAAUACAUGCAAGUCGAGCGCGGGAAGCCGUCUGAUCCCUUCGGGGGGACGACGGUGGAAUGAGCGGCGGACGGGUGAGUAACACGUGAAGAACCUGCCCAUAGGUCUGGGAUAACCACGAGAAAUCGGGGCUAAUACCGGAUGUGUCAUCGGACCGCAUGGUCCGCUGAUGAAAGGCGCUCCCGCGUCGCCCAUGGAUGGCUUUGCGGUGCAUUAUUUAGUUGGUGGGGUAACGGCCCACCAAGGCGACGAUGAUUAGCCGACCUGAUAGGGUGAUCGGCCACACUGGGACUGAUACACGGCCCACACUCCUACGGGAGGCAGCAGUAGGGAAUCUUCCUCAAUGGAGGAAAGUCUGAUGGAGCAACGCCGCGUGAACAAUGAAGGCUUUCUUCUCAUAAAGUUCUGUUGUUGGGAAAGAACAAGUGCUGCAGGCAAUGUCGACACCUUGACUGUACCUUGCUAAAGAGCCACGGCUAACUACGUGCCAGCAGCCGCCUUAAUACGUAUGUGGCAAGCAUUCUCCGGAAUUAUUGGGCGUAGAGCGCGCGCAGCCUCCCUCUUAUUUCUGAUGUGAAACCCCCCCGCCUCACCGGGGAGGUCAUUGGAUACUGUCAGGCUUGAUUGAGGAAAAACCCUACACUCCACGUGUAGCGUUGAAGUGCGUACAAUGUGGGAGAAACAAC